This is a long non-coding RNA of Cyprinus carpio (common carp), 283 nucleotides long. RefSeq lists it as uncharacterized. NCBI's taxonomy places the organism in Eukaryota, Metazoa, Chordata, Actinopteri, Cypriniformes, Cyprinidae. The record is from RefSeq and is a predicted model, not a curated record. The transcript is spliced from 4 exons.
UCUGCACAGCUGCACUGCUGUCCACAACAGAGGGUCAACCUAUAGGCCCACAGCUACGAUGCAAAUGCCCUAAAAUAUAUUCAGAGCCAGCAAUUCCAGCUGAAAAAGUACUCUCACUGAGGUUUAUUUCUGCUGGACCCACACUGCAAAAAUGAUGAGAUCAUUGCCACAAUGAAGAAAGGACAGACGUGUCUUGAUCCUACUAAAGACUGGGUGUGAUUUCUCUCAAAGAAGAAAUCAACAAGAGGAACCUCAAGAGCCAACAAUGAAUGAAUAACACUGU